AGCCACCGUGGCCCUUCCAGCU
This 22-nucleotide microRNA is filed under the name Echinops telfairi (small Madagascar hedgehog). Its description in RNAcentral is "Ete-Novel-5_3p (mature (guide))". Lineage: Eukaryota; Metazoa; Chordata; Mammalia; Afrosoricida; Tenrecidae. The record is from RNAcentral.